Molecule: ribosomal RNA, 503 nt
Filed under: uncultured fungus
Lineage: Eukaryota; Fungi
Description: partial 18S ribosomal RNA
Rfam family: Eukaryotic small subunit ribosomal RNA
Source: RNAcentral
CGGGGGGGGAACCCCCGGGGGGGGGUGUCCGGCUUUAGGGACUUCGAUUUUAUGACUCCUAUGGGUAAUUUAGUAUGGAAAUAAUAAAAUAGGACGUGUGGUUCUAUUUUGUUGGUUUCUAGGACCGCCGUAAUGAUUAAUAGGGACAGUCGGGGGCAUCAGUAUUCAAUUGUCAGAGGUGAAAUUCUUGGAUUUAUUGAAGACUAACUACUGCGAAAGCAUUUGCCAAGGAUGUUUUCAUUAAUCAGGAACGAAAGUUAGGGGAUCGAAGACGAUCAGAUACCGUCGUAGUCUUAACCAUAAACUAUGCCGACUAGGGAUCGGACGGUGUUAUUUUUUGACCCGUUCGGCACCUUACGAGAAAUCAAAGUGCUUGGGCUCCAGGGGGAGUAUGGUCGCAAGGCUGAAACUUAAAGAAAUUGACGGAAGGGCACCACCAGGGGUGGAGCCUGCGGCUUAAUUUGACUCAACACGGGGAAACUCACCAGGUCCAGAAAUCUAGA